GGAACUACGGGGCUUUGUUUGGUUUAAAUGGCUUAUUUCCUGAGACAAGCCAUGAGGCGACUCAUGAGAAAACUGGGUCAUUCAAUAGCAUUCGUUUGAGGCACUGUUCAAGAAAUGCAAUGAGCAGCAACAAAUUCCUAUAAUAAGGCAGCAUUAAAUUGUUUGUGAUAGACCACCAAAUUGAUUCUGACCGAUUAAGUUAUAGGCUUGCAAAUCACAAUUAAUUAAGGAUUGCUU
Molecule: unclassified non-coding RNA, 237 nt
Filed under: Hevea brasiliensis (rubber tree)
Lineage: Eukaryota; Viridiplantae; Streptophyta; Magnoliopsida; Malpighiales; Euphorbiaceae
Source: RNAcentral